Molecule: long non-coding RNA, 203 nt
Organism: Triticum aestivum (bread wheat)
Lineage: Eukaryota; Viridiplantae; Streptophyta; Magnoliopsida; Poales; Poaceae
Exons: 3
Source: RefSeq, a predicted model, not a curated record
AGGACUUCGGAGUCUUUUUCACCCAUAUGCUUGCCAAGAUACAAUCCUAUGGCCUUCCUAUACGCUUAUGUUCAUUUUUUUGAUGAAAAUACUUACUUGACUCUUCUUACUCCGAGAUCAGAUGCCUUCUUUGAUUUGAAAGAUUCAAGGGCCCGCAUUCAGCAUGUUCUAUUGAAAUCAAAUGUCCUUCUCGAAGUCCAAAG